Molecule: non-coding RNA, 77 nt
Organism: Merluccius polli (Benguela hake)
Lineage: Eukaryota; Metazoa; Chordata; Actinopteri; Gadiformes; Merlucciidae
Source: the annotation of a GenBank genome assembly
CCGCAGGAUAGCGUAGUCGUUGGGGUGUUCGACUCCCAGCCGAGAGGUUCUGGGUUCGAUCCCCGAGGUCCGCAGUA